UACAGAGGUCCCGAGCGUUGUUCGGAUUCACUGGGCGUAAAGGGUGCGUAGGUGGCAAGGUAAGUUUGAUGUGAAAUCUCCGAGCUUAACUCGGAAAAUGCAUUGAAUACUAUCUGGCUAGAGGUUUGGGGGGGGGACUGGAAUUCUUGGUGUAGCAGUGAAAUGCGUAGAUAUCAAGAGGAACACCAGUGGCGAAGGCGAGUCCCUGGACAACACCUGACACUGAGGCACGAAAGCUAGGGGAGCAAACAGG
This 253-nucleotide ribosomal RNA is filed under the name uncultured bacterium. RNAcentral's name for it is "partial 16S ribosomal RNA". It matches the Rfam family "Bacterial small subunit ribosomal RNA", at positions 524 to 776 of the family's 1533-position model. The record is from RNAcentral.